UACGUAGGGUGCAAGCGUUGUCCGGAAUUACUGGGCGUAAAGAGCUCGUAGGCGGUCUGUCGCGUCGGCUGUGAAAUCCCGGAGCUCAACUCCGGGCCUGCAGUCGAUACGGGCGGACUCGAGUUCGGCAGGGGAGACUGGAAUUCCUGGUGUAGCGGUGAAAUGCGCAGAUAUCAGGAGGAACACCGGUGGCGAAGGCGGGUCUCUGGGCCGAUAUUGACGCUGAGGAGCGAAAGCGUGGGGAGCGAACAGG
RNAcentral lists this ribosomal RNA (253 nucleotides) under uncultured bacterium. RNAcentral describes it as "partial 16S ribosomal RNA". It matches the Rfam family "Bacterial small subunit ribosomal RNA", at positions 524 to 776 of the family's 1533-position model. The record is from RNAcentral.